This is a long non-coding RNA of Mustela erminea (ermine), 723 nucleotides long. RefSeq lists it as uncharacterized. The transcript is spliced from 3 exons. Lineage: Eukaryota; Metazoa; Chordata; Mammalia; Carnivora; Mustelidae. The record is from RefSeq and is a predicted model, not a curated record.
GCAGGGAAGUGGGCGGGGUCUCCGCGAGCGCGGUGUGUUGGCUCGCUCGCAGGCGGGCGGGGCGGAGGAGGUGAAUGGAGCCGCAGGUAGCGCAGGAACAAAGCGGCUUGACUCGAGCGGCGCGCGUGCGCACGGACUGCCGCGCUUUCCCUACCGAGCCAGUGUCGUCUGCCCAGGAAGGGAGCUAAGGGCCGGGCCCUGCGAUCCGCCCGGUCCGUUCCCAGCGGGCGGAGUGCCUCCACUUCCUCGGGGUUUCCAUCUCCCACUCUGCCCUAGGCUGGUUAGCACACAGCCACCUUGCCUGGACAGAGCCCAGCAGGCCCGUCACAGAUCUAUCCAGCGAUGAGGGCACUUCUCUGAGAGCACAGCAGGAACUCGCCCGUGGUCAGACAGCAGGAGGCCAGGACCACCUCUGCCCAGGACCUUGCCCUACAACUGUGCUAGGCCUGAACCCAUGAGGCAUGUUUGGAGCUACCUUCCCUAUCUGCUCAUAUCCAGCCCCAGAACCAAGCAGUGAAGGGGACUUCCAGCACGACAAGGCUUGGCUAUGAUAGUGGGAUGUUUGAUGUGAACUAAGCCAGAUGUGAGCUGGUAUGCAGCCCCCCUGCCGUCCACCCCUCCCCCAUCCACGUGGCUUGGUGACCCAGGAACUAUGUCACCAAGAAUAAUUUAAGCAUUGGGGCGCCUGGGUGGCUCUGUCAGUUUAGCUUCUGCCUUGGGCUC